Molecule: long non-coding RNA, 1555 nt
Organism: Gadus macrocephalus (Pacific cod)
Lineage: Eukaryota; Metazoa; Chordata; Actinopteri; Gadiformes; Gadidae
Exons: 3
Source: RefSeq, a predicted model, not a curated record
GAGGAGGUUGCUAUGCAGGUAGGGGGUGGUUGCUAUGGAGAACUUGAUUCUCACGCGGACACACCGCCCCCAUCUGGACCCUGGGAUGCCAAUGCUGUGGUAAAGUGUGUAAAGUAUGACCAAGUGUUUCUUUCUGUUAAAUAGAUAGAACUUUAUCAAUCCCCUGUAGGAGAAAUGUGUUAAUGGUAAAAUGGUAAAAAAAAAAAAAUACAAAACAUGAUGGUAACUCUAAAGUCAAACCGUCCAAUCUGAAGGCUCUACUUAACCACUCCCCCUACUCACUUCCGCCAAUGCAAAGCGAACAGAACUGAUUAGGGGAGGGCGUAGUUUGUGACUGACCCAGAUGAACUGCUAAAUAGCGGCGCAAGUUGGUGGGCGCUAUCCUGGUAAUUUCUCUGCGUGAGAAAUACGAAGUGUGCCGUGUGAGCGUGUGCAUGGGUUGAAUUGCUUGUGUCUCCCGCUGAAUGCGUGAGACUUGAGAGCCCUGUAACAGAGUGGCGACACUUCCAUUGGACUCCGUUGUAGCGCCUACUUCCGGGGUAUGGAGCCUCGCAUAGUUCCAAACAACCAUUUUACGGCGUAGGAGAUCAUUCAUUUCCAUUGCUGGCCGUCGAGUAACUUCUGAGACGACCGAUUGCCUGCUGGUUUGUUAGCUCGACUUCGCCAUGUGAAGUUGCCUUAUUAGGUCCUCCACAGUCGCCCCAUCAGUCCCUGGCAGUCUGGUCCCUGGAGCAGCUGACCCUGGAUCACCUGGCCCUGGCAAAGUGGCCUCUUGAUUGCUCUCUGUGACUCCUGUCAUGUCCUUUUCAUCGCUCUUGAAAUCCACCUCAAUUUCCCCCUCAAUCUCUGUAACAAUUACAAGGUAAUGUUGCUGUUAUGUGUAUUUUGCCUUUGCAUUUGCAACUACUGUCAUCUCUGAUCCAACGUCCAAGUGCUGUCACGUGACGACAAGAUGGCGGACGCGGUGAGAAUCCUUAGCUGUGUCCCUAUUCCUCUACGAAUAGUCAUAUCUCCUAUCCUUUACUUAACCUUUGUGGAAAAUGUCAUCGGGUCAAGGAGAGAUGAAAAUGUGCUUCCUUUCUAACAUAGGAAAAGACAGUGCUGUUUAAAAUGAAUUCGACUCCACUUUUCCUAACCGACGUCAUUGCGCGACGGGUAUUGCUGACCUCUAGCGUUUCUAUGGUGGAACUACAGUUUUCCGAAGUUGGUCUACAACAGGGGUUCUCAAAGUUUUGACAGCUGAGGGCCAAUUUAGGAACCCAAAAUUUGACUAUUUAUUUUUGUUUAAAUUAAUGAUAUAAAUAAAAAAGAGAACGUACUGGCAAUGAUAAAGUAUAACAAAAUGGGGAACGACUUCGUGUGACGAAUGAAGAAAGAGGGAACAGAAAUUGUUUGCUUUGCAAAAAACGUCUGCAUUUUUAUUUUCUUGCGGUGUAUAUUGUGUUUAAUAACCAUCAAUAUAUGAUUUCAUUUCGAUUCAAAUAAUGUUUCUUGGAAUUGAUAUCCAUUAUUAUAAAUUUUAUUUUCUGCUCUUCAAACAAACCAAUAAAAAAUA